GCAGCCGCGGUAAUACGUAGGGGGCAAGCGUUAUCCGGAUUUACUGGGUGUAAAGGGAGCGUAGGCGGUCUGGCAAGCCAGAAGUGAAAGCCCGGGGCUCAACCCCGGGACUGCUUUUGGAACUGUUAGACUAGAGUGUCGGAGAGGUAAGUGGAAUUCCUAGUGUAGCGGUGAAAUGCGUAGAUAUUAGGAGGAACACCAGUGGCGAAGGCGGCUUACUGGACGAUAACUGACGCUGAGGCUCGAAAGCGUGGGGAGCAAACAGGAUUAGAUACCCC
RNAcentral lists this ribosomal RNA (278 nucleotides) under uncultured Coriobacteriales bacterium. RNAcentral's name for it is "partial 16S ribosomal RNA". It matches the Rfam family "Bacterial small subunit ribosomal RNA", at positions 511 to 788 of the family's 1533-position model. The record is from RNAcentral. Lineage: Bacteria; Bacillati; Actinomycetota; Coriobacteriia; Coriobacteriales.